Molecule: transfer RNA, 67 nt
Filed under: Desmanthus bicornutus
Lineage: Eukaryota; Viridiplantae; Streptophyta; Magnoliopsida; Fabales; Fabaceae
Description: partial tRNA-Leu
Rfam family: tRNA
About the family: Transfer RNA (tRNA) molecules are approximately 80 nucleotides in length. Their secondary structure includes four short double-helical elements and three loops (D, anti-codon, and T loops). Further hydrogen bonds mediate the characteristic L-shaped molecular structure. tRNAs have two regions of fundamental functional importance: the anti-codon, which is responsible for specific mRNA codon recognition, and the 3' end, to which the tRNAs corresponding amino acid is attached (by aminoacyl-tRNA synthetases). tRNAs cope with the degeneracy of the genetic code in two manners: having more than one tRNA (with a specific anti-codon) for a particular amino acid; and 'wobble' base-pairing, i.e. permitting non-standard base-pairing at the 3rd anti-codon position.
Source: RNAcentral
GUAGACGCUACGGACUUAAAAUCCGUCGACUUUAUAAAUCGUGAGGGUUCAAGUCCCUCUAUCCCCA